GUCUAUGGCCAUACCACCCUGAAUGUGUCUGAUCUCUUCUGAUCUCAGAAGCUAAGCAGGGUCGGGCUUGAUUAGUACUUGGAUGGAAAAAAAUAGAUAAAAUCGAGCUGAUAAGAUG
RNAcentral lists this ribosomal RNA (118 nucleotides) under Peromyscus maniculatus bairdii (prairie deer mouse). Lineage: Eukaryota; Metazoa; Chordata; Mammalia; Rodentia; Cricetidae. The record is from RNAcentral.